Molecule: ribosomal RNA, 253 nt
Filed under: uncultured bacterium
Lineage: Bacteria
Description: partial 16S ribosomal RNA
Rfam family: Bacterial small subunit ribosomal RNA
Source: RNAcentral
UACAGAGGUCUCGAGCGUUAAUCGGAAUCACUGGGCUUAAAGGGUGCGUAGGCGGUUCCGUAAGUGCCUUGUGAAAUCCCAUGGCUCAACCAUGGAAUUGCUCGGUAGACUGCGGAACUUGAGGUCGGUAGGGGUCGCUGGAACUCUAGGUGGAGCGGUGAAAUGCGUAGAUAUCUAGAGGAACGCCAAAGGUGAAGACAGGCGACUGGGCCGAUUCUGACGCUGAGGCACGAGAGCGUGGGGAGCGAACGGG